Molecule: ribosomal RNA, 465 nt
Filed under: uncultured Saprospiraceae bacterium
Lineage: Bacteria; Pseudomonadati; Bacteroidota; Saprospiria; Saprospirales; Saprospiraceae
Description: bacterial SSU rRNA
Rfam family: Bacterial small subunit ribosomal RNA
Source: RNAcentral
GAUGAACGCUAGCGGGAGGCCUAAUACAUGCAAGUCGAGCGGUAGAAAUUUUUUCGGAAAUUUUGAGAGCGGCGGACGGGUGAGUAACGCGUACGAAUCUGCCCCUAAGUUGAGGAUAGCCUCGGGAAACUGGGAGUAAUACUUAAUGUGGUCUACGGAUUAAAGAUUUAUUGCUUAGGGAUGAGCGUGCGUAAGAUUAGCUAGUUGGUGAGGUAAGGGCUCACCAAGGCUACGAUCUUUAGGGGGCGUGAGAGCGUGAACCCCCACACGGGUACUGAGACACGGACCCGACUCCUACGGGAGGCAGCAGUAAGGAAUAUUGGACAAUGGGGGCAACCCUGAUCCAGCCAUCCCGCGUGCAGGAAGACGGCCCUAUGGGUUGUAAACUGCUUUUAUAUAGGAAGAAAGGCAUCUAUUUAUAGGUGUAUAUGACGGUACUAUAGGAAUAAGCACCGGCUAACUCCG